UGGGAUGACGUCAAAUCAUCAUUGCCCCUUAUGACCUGGGCUACACACGUGCUACAAUGGUUGGUACAACGAGUUGCGAGUCGGUGACGGCGAGCUAAUCUCUUAAAAGCCAAUCUCAGUUCGGAUUGUAGGCUGCAACUCGCCUACAUGAAGUCGGAAUCGCUAGUAAUCGCGAAUCAGCACGCCGCGGUCGAAUACGUUCCCGGGCCUU
This 211-nucleotide ribosomal RNA is filed under the name uncultured Streptococcus sp. RNAcentral's name for it is "partial 16S ribosomal RNA". It matches the Rfam family "Bacterial small subunit ribosomal RNA", at positions 1175 to 1382 of the family's 1533-position model. Lineage: Bacteria; Bacillati; Bacillota; Bacilli; Lactobacillales; Streptococcaceae. The record is from RNAcentral.